GACGAACGCUGGCGGCGCGCUUAACACAUGCAAGUCGAGCGAAGCGGCGGACGGGUGAGUAACACGUGAGUAACCGGCCUUAGACAUUGGGAUAGCCUCGGGAAACCGGGAUUAAUACCAAAUGGUCUAAGAUGGACUCGCGUCCCAUUAGCUAGUUGGUGGGUAACGGCCCAUCAAGGCGACGAUGGGUAGCCGGCCUUAGAGGCUGAACCGCCACUUUGUCACUGAGCAACGGUCCAAACUCUACGGGAGGCAGCCGUGUGGAAUAUUGCACAAUGGCGUGAACUCUGAUGCAGCGACGCCGCGUGAACGAAGAAGGCUUUCGAGUCGUAAAGUUCUUUUAUAUGGGAAGCGGUACCAUAAGAAAAAGCCCCGGCUAACUACGUGCCAGCAGCCGCGGUAAUAC
RNAcentral lists this ribosomal RNA (406 nucleotides) under uncultured bacterium. Its description in RNAcentral is "partial 16S ribosomal RNA". It matches the Rfam family "Bacterial small subunit ribosomal RNA", at positions 28 to 526 of the family's 1533-position model. The record is from RNAcentral.